AUUUAAAGAAAGCGUAAUAGCUCACUGGUCGAGUCGGCCUGCGCGGAAGAUGUAACGGGGCUAAACCAUGCACCGAAGCUGCGGCAGCGACACUCAGGUGUUGUUGGGUAGGGGAGCGUUCUGUAAGUCUGCGAAGGUGGCCUGUGAGGGUUGCUGGAGGUAUCAGAAGUGCGAAUGCUGACAUAAGUAACGAUAAAGCGGGUGAAAAGCCCGCUCGCCGGAAGACCAAGGGUUCCUGUCCAACGUUAAUCGGGG
RNAcentral lists this ribosomal RNA (255 nucleotides) under Salmonella enterica subsp. enterica serovar Infantis. RNAcentral's name for it is "partial 23S ribosomal RNA". It matches the Rfam family "Bacterial large subunit ribosomal RNA", at positions 1121 to 1374 of the family's 2925-position model. The record is from RNAcentral. Lineage: Bacteria; Pseudomonadati; Pseudomonadota; Gammaproteobacteria; Enterobacterales; Enterobacteriaceae.